UGGGGAAUAUUGCACAAUGGGCGCAAGCCUGAUGCAGCCAUGCCGCGUGUAUGAAGAAGGCCUUCGGGUUGUAAAGUACUUUCAGUCGGGAGGAAGGUGGUAAGGUUAAUAACCUUAUCAAUUGACGUUACCGACAGAAGAAGCACCGGCUAACUCCGUGCCAGCAGCCGCGGUAAUACGGAGGGUGCAAGCGUUAAUCGGAAUUACUGAGCGUAAAGCGCACGCAGGCGGUUGAUUGAGUCAGAUGUGAAAUCCCCGGGCUUAACCCGGGAAUUGCAUCUGAUACUGGUCAGCUAGAGUCUUGUAGAGGGGGGUAGAAUUCCAUGUGUAGCGGUGAAAUGCGUAGAGAUGUGGAGGAAUACCGGUGGCGAAGGCGGCCCCAUGGACAAAGACUGACGCUCAGGUGCGAAAGCGUGGGGAGCAAACAGG
RNAcentral lists this ribosomal RNA (429 nucleotides) under Chloroflexota bacterium. RNAcentral describes it as "Chloroflexi bacterium partial 16S ribosomal RNA". It matches the Rfam family "Bacterial small subunit ribosomal RNA", at positions 355 to 776 of the family's 1533-position model. Lineage: Bacteria; Bacillati; Chloroflexota. The record is from RNAcentral.